UACAUAGGUCCCAAGCGUUAUCCGGAUUUACUGGGCGUAAAGUGUCCGUAGCCUGACAUAUAAGUCUGUUUUCAAAUACUGUGGCUUAACCAUAGGAAGGGAAUAGAUACUGUAUGUCUGGAAGUUGUUGGGGGUUAGUGGAAUUUCCGGUGGAGCGGUGAAAUGCGUUGAUAUCGGAAAGAACGCCGAAAGCGAAAGCAGCUAACUACAAUAAACUUGACGGUAAGGGACGAAAGCGUGGGGAGCAAAC
Molecule: ribosomal RNA, 250 nt
Filed under: uncultured prokaryote
Description: partial 16S ribosomal RNA
Rfam family: Bacterial small subunit ribosomal RNA
Source: RNAcentral